GAAUUGAAUUAAUUAUUAAAAUUUAAUUAGUUAAAUUUUUGUUAAUAAAAAUAAUUUUAUAUUGAUUAAAUAUUUUGAAAAGUAUAGUUUAAUUAUAGUUAAUUAGUAUUGUAAAAGAAAUAGUUAAAAUUUUAAAAAGAAAAAUUUAAUUUUUGUACCUUGGGUAUCAGGGUUUAUUAAAAAAAAUUAAUAAGUUAAUUUUCUCGAAUUUAAAAGAGCUAAUUUAUUAAAAAUUUUAUUGUAAAAUAAUUAUUUAAAAUAAUAAAUUAGUAAUGAAACGUUAUUCGUUUUUAAAUAUAUCUAGUUUUUAAAGAAAAAAGUUUAAUUUUGGUUUUAAUAUAUAUGGUUAUUUUUAAAUAUAAUAAUAUUAUUAAUUUUUAAUUUUUUAAGGGAUAAGCUUUAAAAAAAAAUAUUAUAAUUCAAUUAAAAUAAUUAUAAUUAAUAAGAUUAAAAUUUUCUAUUUAUAAAAAUAUGUUAUAAUUUAUUAUAAAAAAAAUUAUAUUUAUAUUGUAUUUAAAUAAUAUAUUUAAAUAAUAUUUUUAAUUAAAAAAAAUAUUUAAUAAUGAUAAAAUUAGUAUAAUUAAUUGUAUUAAAUAAAUAAAUUUUAAGGUAAAUUUAAAGAACUCGGCAAAUUUAUUGUUCACCUGUUUAAUAAAAACAUGUCCUUUUGAUAAUAAUUUAAGGUUUAAUCUGCCCACUGAAAUUUAAAUGGCCGCAGUAUUUUGACUGUGCUAAGGUAGCAUAAUAAAUAGUUUUUUAAUUGAAAGCUGGUAUGAAUGAUUGGAUGAGAUAAUAACUGUUUCAAAUUUAAUUAAUUAGAAUUUUAUAUUUAAGUAAAAAAGCUUAAAUAAUUUUAAAAGACGAGAAGACCCUAUAGAGUUUUAUAUUUUUAUUUAAUUUAAAUUUUUAAUAAAAUU
Molecule: ribosomal RNA, 917 nt
Filed under: Melyridae sp. 1 NLG-2013
Lineage: Eukaryota; Metazoa; Arthropoda; Insecta; Coleoptera; Melyridae
Description: partial 16S ribosomal RNA
Source: RNAcentral